This 137-nucleotide non-coding RNA is filed under the name Modestobacter sp. DSM 44400. The record is from RNAcentral. Lineage: Bacteria; Bacillati; Actinomycetota; Actinomycetes; Geodermatophilales; Geodermatophilaceae.
UUGCCGGUGGGAGUCCGGUCCGGGUAGCUGUCAGGAGGCCCGGUAGCAGACUAGCGGCUUGGUCUGGAAACGGACCGGGUCGAAGCCCAGUGUCAAAAGCCCUGUCAGGGGAAGCGACUGAACGGUUCGCAGCAUUA